RNAcentral lists this non-coding RNA (45 nucleotides) under Schistosoma bovis. The record is from RNAcentral. RNAcentral also lists the same sequence under 1 other name. Lineage: Eukaryota; Metazoa; Platyhelminthes; Trematoda; Strigeidida; Schistosomatidae.
ACCCAGUUGACGAGUCCCAAUUUGGACGAAACGCGAUUCCUGGAU